RNAcentral lists this unclassified non-coding RNA (8216 nucleotides) under Hevea brasiliensis (rubber tree). The record is from RNAcentral. Lineage: Eukaryota; Viridiplantae; Streptophyta; Magnoliopsida; Malpighiales; Euphorbiaceae.
UUUUUUUUAAAAUUUUUUUUAUUUUCUUUUAUCGUGGUGGUUUGUUGACCAACCAUCUUUUCCUUUCCAUGUUUCUUUGUGCUUGCUUAUUUUUGAUUCCAUGACAUAUUGCUUCUUUUGUUUAUUGUUCAACAUGUCAGACAAUUAGAGCAUGCAAUGCCGCAUAAUUGGUUUUCUUCUUGGUGUCUAAGAAUGUAGUAUUUGAGAGGAACUGAGUUUUCAAUUCACAUUGUGCGGUAGUUGACGGAAAUUUAUCAUAUUAGCUUUUAUCUUUCAUGCUUGCAAUGAGCAAUUGUAAUUCCUGUUUGUGGGAUGUCAUUUAUGCCCAUAUUUAUUUUGACUUUUAGCUUUGGACAUUAAGUAAUAUGCAGUUUUAGCUUCUUGUAGUGGUUUGAUGUUGGGAGCAGUAUGCCGGUGACAGUUUGGAGAAAUGCAAAGGUAUCAUGCUCCCAGCUGCACUGGUGCAGUUAAUAAUAAUCCAAUUGGUGGGGCGUCUGUUAGGGAUAAUGGCAGGGCUGACUCGUCUUCAUUGCCAGCUAAUUUCUCUAUUAAUUCUAGGCGGCCUCCUCCACUGACUGCAUACAAGUUGAAGUGUGAUAAAGAUCCCUUGAAUUCUCGACUUGGCCCCCCCGACUUUCAUCCCCAGAUUCCAAAUUGCCCUGAGGAAACACUUACCAGGGAAUAUGUGCAGUCUGGAUACAGGGAGACAAUCGAGGGACUUGAGGAAGCUAGAGAGACUUCACUGACUCAGGUUCAAGUCUUUACUAAGCCUAUUGUGAUAAGAUGCAGAGAGGCAAUCAGAAAAUGUCUGCGGGCCAUUAAUGAGUCUCGUGCUCAGAAGCGUAAGGCUGGUCAAGUCUAUGGUGUGCCUCUUUCUGGGUCAUUAUUAACUAAGCCUGGUGUCUUUCCUGAGCAAAGGGCUUGCAGUGAAGACUUCAAGAAGAAAUGGAUUGAGGGUUUAUCACAACCACAUAAGCGAUUGCGAUCUUUGGCCGAUCAGGUGCCUCAUGGUCACAGGAGGAAAUCCCUUUUUGAAGUUCUUAUCAGGAAUAAUGUUCCAUUACUAAGAGCAACUUGGUUUAUCAAAGUAACUUACCUCAAUCAGGUCCGUCCUAGUUCUGCUAGUAUUUCAUCAGGCACUCCUGAUAAAACUCAGUUGUCACGGACAGAGGUUUGGACAAAAGAUGUUAUUGAGUACUUGCAGAUACUACUGGAUGAAUUUUUCUCCAGAAAUAAUUCCUAUUCUGCUCCACACACUAAAGCUAGAUCGCCUCAAAUGCUAUAUGCUGGGUCAGUGCAGCACAGGAGUGAUCCUGCACCGGUGUUUAUUGAUGGUGAGGAGCCUUCCCUACAUUUUAAGUGGUGGUAUGUAGUACGGCUUUUACAUUGGCACCAUGCUGAAGGACUACUUCUUCCUACUGUAAUUAUUGAUUGGGUUCUUAGUCAAUUGCAGGAAAAGGAUGUACUUGAGAUUUUGCAGAUGCUGUUACCGAUCAUAUAUGGUGUUUUAGAUACCAUUGUUUUAUCUCAAACUUAUGUACGCACUCUUGCUGGAAUAGUAGUUCGUUACAUUUGUGAACCUUCUCCAGGUGGAUCAGAUCUGGUAGAUAAUUCUCGAAGGGCUUAUACAACAGCUGCUCUAAUUGAGAUGCUUCGAUACUUGAUUUUGGCUGUUCCAGAUACAUUUGUUGCUUUGGAUUGCUUUCCUUUGCCACCAAGCGUAUUGUCUUAUGCAGUAAAUGAUGGGGCUUUUGUGACGAAGGUAUCUGAGGAGGCAAGAAAGACCAAAGAUAAUUCAGCAGGAGUUGUUGGUAUGUUCAGAAAUAAAGGUCUUGAUGCUCAAUACCAGUCCUUAUCCUUUGAUCAGGUUGUUUCAUCCAUCAAGAAACAGGCAGAUAAUCUAGCAAAGGCGUCUUGUCCUGGCUAUCUGGUUCAUAGUGUAGCAAAAGCUUUACAAGCAUUGGAUAAAGUGCUUUUGCAGGGAGACGUUAGAGAGGCUUAUAGUUUUCUAUUUGAAAAUUUUUGUGAUGGAGCUGUCGAUGAAGGUUGGAUCGAAGAAGUCAGUCCUUUCCUAAGAUCAUCACUGAAAUGGAUUGGAACUGUGAACUUGUCAUUUAUUUGUUCUGUAUUUUUCCUAUGUGAGUGGGCAACAUGUGACUAUAGGGAUUUUCGGGCUGCUUCACCUCUUGAUCUGAAGUUCACUGGGAAAAAGGAUUUUUCUCAGAUUAAUAUUGCAAGUCGCCUUCUUAAGUUAAAGAUGAGAGAUUUGCAAAGUAAGUCUCGACGGAAGAAUGACAAAUCCCUUGGAAUCAAUAGUCUUGCCAAAGGUCUCAGUCAGCAUAAUUAUGUUGGCAGGGUUCCUGCAGGAAAUGGGUAUGAAAAUAAGGAUAACUCAAAAAAAGUGACUAGAAAAAAUGCUAAUUCGUCAGAUUUAUUUGAGAGCCCGGGUCCUUUACAUGAUAUCAUUGUGUGUUGGAUUGAUCAACAUGAAGUUCAAAAAGGAGAAGGUUUGAAGCGUCUUCAGCUGCUGAUAGUGGAACUCAUACGAUCUGGGAUUUUUUACCCCCAUUCAUAUGUAAGGCAGCUGAUAAUUAGUGGAAUUAUGGAUACAAGUGGGCCUGUAGAUGACCAUAACAAAUGGAAGAGACAUUAUCAAAUUUUGAAACAACUACCUGGACUCUUCAUCCAUGAUGUUCUGGAAGAGGCAAGGAUUGCAGAAAGGUCAGAACUUUUGGAGGCCAUGCACGUUUACUCAAAUGAACGCCGUCUUCUCCUACGAGGGGUCCUUUGUGAGCAAUAUCAAAAUUCAUCCAAAUCAAAUAUAUCAAUGCAGAAGCAAAAGCAUCAUCUAACCUCUGUAAAGGAUGGUGGUUCCACAGCUUCUUUUGAUCAGUUGAAAAUUAUCCAGUCCUGUUCAGAUACUUUGACUUCUAAAAAGGUCAAGUCCAAUGCCGAUAUUGGGGAACUGAAGGCUUCCAUUUUAUUGCUGUUACAGAUUCCUAACCUGUCCACAUCUUCAGACAUGGGACUGGAUGAAUCUCAGGGAAGUGUUAAGAGGGCUGCGGAGUCAAUAUCCAACAAAAUGGAUUUAGUAGAAGGUACACCAGGGUGCGAGGAUUGUAGAAGGGCAAAGAGACAAAAGUUAAAUGAAGAAAAGAGCUUUUGUUUUCAGGGUCAUUCUCCAAUAUCAGAUGAUGAAGAUACAUGGUGGAUGCGGAAGGGUCCCAAAUCCUUAGAUUCUUCCAAAGUUGAUCUACCACAGAAGUCAUGCAAACAGGUCUCCAAGGGUAGGCAAAAGGUUGUGCGUAAAAGUCUAGCUCAGUUGACAGCUGCUAGGAUUGAGGGUAGCCAGGGAGCUUCUACAAGUCAUGUAUGUGAUAACAGGGUUGGCUGCCCUCAUCAUAGAAAUGGAACAGAAGGAGAUACUCUCAAGUCAGUGGAUGGAAUCAGAACAUUGCAUGGUGGAGAUAUUGUUUCAAUUGCAAAAGCUUUAAAGCAACUGCGUUUUCUAGAGAAGAGAUCCAUUACUGUUUGGUUGGUGACUAUUGUUAAACAGCUUGUUGAGGAGACUGAAAGGAAUGUUGCCAAGGCCAACCAGUUCGCUAGGCCUUUUGUUUCUGCUGAUGAUAGAAGCUCCAUUCGAUGGAAGCUUGGUGAGGAUGAGCUCUCUGUUGUAUUGUAUUUAAUGGAUGUUUGUAAUGAUUUAGUUUCUGCAUCCAAGUUAUUGCUUUGGUUAUUGCCGAAGGUAGUCAGCAAUCCCAGUCCUACAAUCCAUAGUGGGAGGAACAUUAUGAUGCUGCCAAGAAAUGUGGAGAACCAUGCAUGUGAAGUGGGAGAGGCAUUUUUGUUAUCAUGCCUCCGAAGGUACGAGAACAUACUUGCUGCAACAGACCUUAUUCCUGAAGUCUUGACAGCUGCAAUGCAACGUGUUGCAGCACUACUGGCUUCUGGUGGCAGGGUUUUAGGUUCAGCAGUCUUAACUUAUAGUCGGCAUUUGUUGAAGAAAUAUGCCAAUGUGCCGAGUGUCUUUGAAUGGAAUAAGAGUUUCAAAUCAACUUGUGAUAAGAGACUUCUUUCUGAACUUGAACCUAGUAGAUCACUGGAUGGAGAGUUUGGAUUUUCACUUGGAGUUCCAGCAGGAGUUGAAGAUCUUGAUGAUUUUCUUCGUCAAAAGAUGAGUGGUAAUCGGAUGACUAGAGCUGGUAUCAGCAUGAAAGAUAUAGUUCAAAGGCACAUUGAUGAUUCUUUUCACUAUUUCUUUGGUAAGGAGAGAAAGUUCUUUGGUGCUGGUACACAAAAAGGUCCUGGAUAUGAAAAAUCUGAUGAUGGUUACCAGAUAGCUCAACAAAUAAUUGUGGGAUUGCUGGAUUGCUUUAGGCAGACUGGUGGUGCUGCUCAAGAAGGUGACCCUUCUUUGGUCUCUUCUGCCGUAUCUGCUAUAGUCAAUAAUAUUGGACCAACUAUAGCAAAAAUGCCUGAUUUUACAGUGGUUUCUAACCAUUCGAAUUCUUCAUCUGCUAUGGCUUCAUUAAGUAUUGCUAGACGUAUUUUGCGUAUCCAUAUAAGCUGCAUCUGUCUGCUUAAGGAAGCCCUUGGAGAGCGUCAGAGCCGUGUUUUUGAGAUAGCUCUUGCAACAGAAGCCUUUUCUGCUCUUGCUACAGCUUUUGCUCCAGGAAAGGCUUCUCGAAGUCAGUUUCAACUGUCUCCUGAAGAUUCCAAUGUGAACAUUGAUAUGUUGAACAAUUCUGCAAGAUCUGGAAGGGUAACAAAAAUUGCUGCUGCAAUCUCUGCUCUUGUUGUUGGGGCUGUUAUUCAUGGUGUUACAAGCUUGGAGAGAAUGGUAAAUGUCUUCAGAUUAAAGGAAGGGUUAGAUGUAAUUCAAUUUAUAAGGAGCACAAAAUCCAAUUCAAAUGGAAACACGCGUUCUACUCCAGGUUUUAAGGUGGAUAACUCGAUUGAAGUUUAUGUGCAUUUGUUUAGGCUGCUUCUUGGGAAUUGCAGAACUUUAUUUGAUGGUUUAAUUGUGGAACUCCUGGGCGAACCAUCUAUAGUCGCUCUUUCAAGGAUGCAGCGAAUGCUCCCUCUUAGUUUGGUAUUUCCACCUGCCUAUUCUAUAUUUGCCUUUGUUAUAUGGAGACAAAUUAUUCUUAGCAAAGAUCUUGCAAACCGUGAAGACAUAAAUCAAUUCUAUCAAUCUUUGACAACGGCCAUAGGUGAUGUCAUAAAGCACCAUCCUUUUCGGGAUGUAUGCUUAAGAGACAGUCAAGGCUUUUAUGAUAUUGUAGCUGCAGAUGCCAGUGAUGCUGAGUUUGCUGCCAUGUUAAGUGGUUUGGACAUGCACUCUAAAUCUGCAGCAUUUGUUCCCCUUCGUGGAAGGCUGUUUUUAAAUGCCAUCAUUGAUUGUAAAAUGCCUGAGUCUGUGUCCACUCAGGAUAACAGCAAUCGAGUUUCUGGACUUGGUGGAUCUAAAGGACAACAUUCAGAGAGCGAAACAAAGCUUCUGGAUAAGAUUGUGAAUGUAUUGGAUACUCUGCAACCUGCAAAAUUCCAUUGGCAGUGGGUUGAACUUAGGUUACUUUUAAAUGAACAAGCCCUUGUUGAAAAGCUUGAGGCCCAUGAUAUGUCUCUAGCAGAUGCUAUCCGUUCAUCCUCACCUGGUCCUGAAAAAGACGCUGCUUCUGAAAAUGAGAAUAAUUUCAUUGUGAUCAUCCUCACAAGAUUAUUGGUCAGACCUGAUGCUGCACCCCUUUUCUCGGAGUUGGUUCAUCUUUUUGGUAGGUCACUGGAAGAUUCAAUGCUAUUGCAGGCUAAAUGGUUCUUAGCAGGCCAAGAUGUUCUUUUGGGACGAAAAACUAUUAGACAACGUCUUAUUAAUAUUGCAGAGAGUAAAUGUCUUUCAACUAAGGCUCGGUUUUGGAAGCCAUGGGGCUGGUCAGGUUUUGAUCCUCUGACAAGCGGAGGAGAGAAAAAGAAGUUUGAGGUCACCUCCCUUGAAGAAGGGGAGGUUGUUGAAGAUGGCACAGGCAUAAAAAGAUCUGGAAAAGGAUCAACUCAAAUGUUUAAUUCUGAAGGGUUCAGCAUGAGCCAACAGUACAGAACUGAAAGGGCUCUCAUUGAAUUAGUUCUUCCCUGCAUAGAUCAAGGUUCUGAUGAGUCACGCAAUACAUUUGCAAGCGAUUUGAUUAAGCAAUUGAAUAAUAUUGAGCAACAUAUAAAUACAGUUACUCGCGGUGCAAGCAAGCAGGCAGGAUCAAGUUCUUCUGGGCUGGAAGGUCCUGCAAAUAAGGGUAGCAACCGCAAAGUUAUGAGAAGUGGUAGUCCUGGAAUGAACAGACGGAUAGCAGGAGCUGCUGAUUCUGCUCUGCCAUCCCCUGCAGCCUUGAGAGCUUCCAUGUCAUUGCGGUUGCAAUUAUUGCUGAGAUUGCUUCCUAUCAUAUGCGCAGAUGGGGAGCCAUCUGGCCGGAACAUGAGGCACAUGCUUGCAUCUGUCAUGCUUCGCCUCCUUGGUAAUCGUGUUGUGUAUGAGGACGCAGACCUAUCAUUCUCUCCAGUGCAAAGUUCUCAAUCUAAGAUGGAGGUUGAGUCUCCAUUGGAAACUGUGUCUGCGGAUUUGUCUGGUGAAAGUCUCUUUGAUCGGCUACUGUUGGUCUUGCAUGGUUUGUUAAGUAACAGCCAGCCAAGUUGGUUGAAGCCAAGGUCUCCCUCCAAGUUAAUGAGUGAUUUUUCUAAGGACUCUGCUGGACUUGAUCGUGAGGUGGUGGAGAGUUUACAGAAUGACUUAGAUCGCAUGCAGCUGCCAGGCUCUAUUCGGUGGCGCAUCCAAGCUGCAAUGCCAGUUCUUCCUCCUUCAGUAAGAUGGUCCAUCUCUUGCCAUCUACCAUCUGUUCCUGUUGCUUCUGUUGCUUCACUUCAACCUAGUAUCACAUAUUCUGGAUUUUACACUGGAAACCCAUCGCAGAAAAGUCCUCUUCCUUUGGCACGAAUGACAACAAAUGCGCCAGGGAAGUCCAAGCCAUUGCCAUUGCAACCGGAAAAUGAUAUGGAAAUUGACCCAUGGACUCUUUUGGAAGAUGGCGCAGGAUCAGGUCCAUCUUCGAGCAACUCUGCUGUGAUUGGCAGUGGUGACCAUUCUAAUCUUCGGGCCUCCAGCUGGCUUAAAGGGACUGUAAGGGUCAGGAGGACUGACCUUACUUAUAUUGGUGCUGUAGAUGAUGACAGCUGAUUCAAGUUAACUUUCAUUCUUGAUUUGGCCUGGAGUGAACAAUUCCCUCAACAGGUAACGUUUUUGUUUAUCAUGCAUAUUUGGCAUCAAGGUUCCCCCUUGUUCUUGCCAUACCUGCCUUUGAUGGCAAAGGGAGCUGUUGGAAGGGACAUUCUUAUUGGGGCAUGUGGUCCUUGUGAAGGUAGUGAAAGAAAUAUGCUCUUACACAGCAUGCCCUGCCAGGUCUUGGGCCCACUUGACUACUAACAUUUUGAUCACUGCCUGUCUGGACUGUGUACUCCAGGUGCAGUUCGGAGACUUCUUGUAUAUAUAGAGAGAAUUUUUUAACUUUGCUGAUUCAUCAGGGUCAAAUAUCUUAAGAAUGAUUUGUAGCUGUUUCAUGUGCAUCAAUCUAUUGUUGCAUCCAUUGUCUGUCUCUCUCUGCUCUGUGUCUCUUGAAUGUGUGCAUGCACACUGAUGUGAAUGCCAGUAAUGGUUCAAUACAUGAAUAUAUGGCAAUGUUCACAGUGGCAUGUGCAGUCCAUUAGUUUAUUAUCUUCUGCGGUAGGCUUAGGACAUUGUUGAUUUAUCAAAUACCACAUCACCCCCCAACGUGUUGUUUGAUAUUGGCCUACUUCUGUAAUUAAUUGAUAUAUGGGCUAUGGGUCUCAUUGAAUUUAAAAUGAAUUCUACUUUACAACAGAUGACAGAAUCAGAAUGCAUGUAUUAUAUUUUUGCUAAUAAUACAGCCAAUGAUGGAUGAUAUGUUUGAUUUUGCUAGUGAAAAAUAGUCUUGGAUUUAAAGCUUCACGUAUUUGGAUGCCCGAUAAAGGCUUUCUGUAGUUCAUGUAAUAUUACCCUGAAACUCAACCCAGAUGCCAUGCAGAUCUUGUAUUUUCUUGGAACCUUACUUUGCCUCCAUUUGUGUAUGGACCAAACAAUGUUUCCUGUUGAUUCAAGAAUUAUCAGUGGUGUUUUUGUACAAGUGUUUAAGUGUUUUUUUGAACUAAAUGGC